UCUCGAAGUUAUUUGUGUAGGCGAAACUGCUGUCGUCCAUGCCGUCGUUCGUUGUGAAUAUUAUCUUUCAUUUACGUUAAAGUUAUUGAAAAAUAUUCUGUUCAAAUGAGUUCUUCUCAAUUAAUGCACAUGAUAGAUGAAAUCAUCUCGAGGGCGUGAAUAGAUAGCUCGUUUAAUGAAAGUAAAAUUUGUUUUCUCACCGAUUCCUGCUCAUAUUUAUUUGUCGUUGUGGGUGAAGUGAAGUGUCAGUCAGCCGUAACUGGCUUGUUUGUUAAGUGAAACAUCAAAGGCACUUAUCGUGUUGAACACAGAUGUCAUCACCUUCUUAAAUUUGCAUUCGAUUGCAGAAAAUACGAAAGUGGAUACUGCUUUAUAUCAUAAUCAAUAGGAAUACGGGGUAGCUACGAAAGGACGCGUUUACCGACAUUGAUCUUAGAGAACUUAUGCUGUCCAAGGGAAUCUGUUAAAGUAUUGAAGGUUUGGUGAAAGGGCAUUUGGAAGAGAGCUCUGAUUAUCGUGCUUAUGUCAAGAUAUCUUUGUUGGUCAUAUUGCCUCUUUUGACUUUGUUUUCGCGUUUGGAUCUUUAACAUAAUAAGGUAAUUCUCCAUAAUGACCCGAAGGCUCAAGAUGUGUUACAUUUGUAAUGUUUUAAGCUAUAUUUUGGUAUGUUUUGGCUUCUUGAGUUGUGUUUGCGCUCUGUUUAGACAAGUUGAUAAUCGAUUAUUAUCGAAAGUUAAUCGAAAAGUUCAAGACACCGCGACUACACCUUUUUAUUAUCAACUGCCGCGUAAAAAAUUGAAAAAUAAAAAAAAACUAUCAAAA
Long non-coding RNA from Xenia sp. Carnegie-2017, 822 nucleotides. RefSeq lists it as uncharacterized. The record is from RefSeq and is a predicted model, not a curated record. NCBI's taxonomy places the organism in Eukaryota, Metazoa, Cnidaria, Anthozoa, Malacalcyonacea, Xeniidae. The transcript has 3 exons.